UCCAGGAAACUCACAAUAGCAAAAAUAAAUAUGGGAAAGCAGUUAAUAGGGUAUCAGGGGCGUAAAUUCUUUAGACGAUGGGCCGGAUCAUCACAAUUUAGUAAUGCACGAUUACUUGAAUGCUUUGAAUAGAAUGUCUAGUACAUAUAUAUGUAUUCUACUUAUUAGCUCUUAUUCAAAGCCAUUGGAUGGCUUUGUUUCCUACCAAACUUAAAGAAAAGUUUGGUUAAAGGUAAAUACAUCAACUGACUAUUUUUAUAAUAACUGUAAAUACUUGCAUAUAAAAUUAUACAAGGUCACGCUUUUCUGCAAUGCUAUUUUACAAUACAAUAAAUCUUACUAAAUAAUUAAAUUCAUUCAUCAGCUCUAACUUCUUUUACCAGAAAGCUAGCACACUUGUACAAUUUAUGGAAUAACUACUACUAAAAUUCCAAACAAGAGCAAGAUCUCUCGACUAUAAUUUGAGGCAGGUCAUAUAUUCCUCCAAAUCCAUCCAGAAACAUAUAGGAUUAGAGGAGACAAAGUAGGACUUCUUUUCAACUUCUCUAAAGUUCUCUUAUCUUCAACUUUGAGCAAACAACUUUACACUCAUAUAUGGAAGAUAUAAUAGAAUUAUCAACUGAAAGAAAAAAAAUAAAACAUACAUUUCUUUAUGCGAUACCAGCCUAAGAAUAAAGCAACUUAUCGAGCCCAAAGAAAAGCCAGUAAGGUACUUUUAAAUGACACACGAAUGAAUUGUACCUCUCUUUGAGGGCAUUCAGACCAAUCAACACAAGUGAUCCAUGCACGAGACAUUAAUCAAAUACAUAGAAAAGGAAUAUUACCUUAUCACCAUCGUAAAUCAUUACUAAGUAAAGGCCAGUAAUUUUUUCAUGAUGAUAGUUAACUGAAGACCCUAUUUAAUCACCUUGAACACCACCUAUUUUACUCAAUAAACUACCAAGAUGUACCGCUUGUACGGAAGAUCACCUAGGAUUCAAGCAUACAACUUCUAGAUAAUCACAUACUACAAGUACCUCCAAUAACACUAAUACUCGAGCUUCAUACUAUGUGUAAAUUUUGCAAAAGAGGUUCAGCCACAACUUCUUAUAUCAACUAAAGGAAAAAGUGAUGCUAGAUAUACUAACAACUUCAGUAAAGCAAAGAAUCACUUGUAAACUCACAUGAUUUAACUGAGUAGGAGUUAGUAUGUAAAUCAUUAUACAUUCUGACAUGAAAAGUUUUUAUUUAAGUGUUGCCGGACAUUCAAAAUGUGAAUUAGUCUCGUGUAUUUUAGAAUAGUAUCCUCAACAUAAAUUUUGAAAAAAUUAAUGUAUGGAGAAAAUGAAGAAACUGCAUAUCUAGACUCUAGAGACAGUUACUAGAAUAAUAUCCUCACCUUAAGUUUUGAAGACAAAGAACAAACAUAUCAAACUCCAUCUUAACAAAGAAGAGACAUGCCAAAACUCCCACUUCAAUCACUUUGGAAUAACCAUAAUCUUCUUAACUUGACUUCUAAAAAAAAAAAAAAAACAAAAAUUGACCCCGUGCACGCUUGGUCAAAAUUCAAAAUUCGGACCAAAAUUCGAUUAUCAUAAAAAAAAAGCAGUGUUAGAUUUAGAAUAUAUGGAAGUUUAUGGAUCUAAAAGCAACACUUGUGCAACUUAUUUCCUAUUAUCAUAUAUAACCACAUAGGACAAGAGGGGUUUCUAUGAUGGUAAGCAACCCCCACUUCAACCGAGAGGUUGUGAGUUCGAGUCUCUCCAAGAGCAAGGUGGGAAAGUUCUUGGUCUAUUUGGAAACAGCCUCUCUACCCGAGGGUAGGGGUAAGGUCUGUGUACAUACUACCCUCCCCAGACCCCACUAAGUGGAAUUAUACUGGGUUGUUGCUGUUGUUGUAUAUAGAACCACACAGCUAUUUUUGUCUAUACUUCUUAAAUCAUGCUUCUCCCAAACACAAAACUAAUAUGGAAUUCUGUUUUAGUUAGAAAAUUUCGAACAAGUAUCAUUGGAGUUUGAAGUAAGCAAAUAUACAUUUCAUAGAAUAAAAAGCCUUGUAAACACUUACUAAGCGAAAGAGAAGAAUGUCUGAUAGUCUUUGGAUCCUGUCUUUCUUAUCAGAGUCUGUCAGAAUAUAACAAUAAUAACCAUCAUUGCUUAUUCCUUUCUUACCUGAUAUCAAUUGCUCAUGAAUGCAUUUCUGUUAUUUGAUAAAAAAAUUUGCAGUAAAAUGGCUAUCUUGAACCUGCAAUGUCAAUAUAUACAACGCUACCAACUCUUACAGGUGAAAAAUUUAUAGAAAAACUGCUAUCAUGUCAAUAUUAAAAAUAUCUCGAAAGGAAGGAAAAAGUAUAUAUGAUCGUUUCGAUCAAAUAGAGAUACCCGAUACAUAAAAUCUUUCAUAACUUCAUUAACAAAAUGUGAGAACACAAGCCUUAGGAAUACGGUAGAAGUAAUAAAUCAUGGAGCUUUACCCUAAAAUCGUAUGACUUCUAAGUUUAACGCCACAAAAAUUCAUACAAAAUAUGAAAACUUACUCAUAAGAAUGAAAAUUGAUCUUUUAUAAAUACCUAAUACGAGACUGGAAAAAGCAACAAUACAUAACUUAGAGGACGUCUAUUCCAUAUCGAAAAAAUCAGACUAUGAAGCAAAGGCAUGGCUCUAAAGACAACAUUUGCCACAUAUCUAAGUUUUUCUUCAUUAACACCAUUCAUUCAAGUCGAGAGCAGAUAUUUUAUACAAUUGAAAUACUAAAUUUUGGGUUGAAAGUUCUGUACAUGUUAACUCUUGUUACUUACGGCUAUAAAUCAACAUACGCGAGAGAAAACAAAUAAAAGCUAUUGUAACCGAAUCUAAUAUUGAGGAAUUAUCCGUAUUUAGAAACCGCAAUCAAUUCUAGGUACAAGAUCUUUCAUUUAUUUUCUGAAAAUUAUAGAGCUACAUCAAAAUUUAAAAUUGGAGUUUGGAUAUUUGGAAUUUUCUGACAUGUUAUUUUGAAUGGAAUUGCAAAUUGUCAUAAUGCAGUAAACCAAAAAAUUCCGAUCAAGUUAAAUUUGAAUCAAUAGAAGUACAUGCAUUCCGCAAUCAUUCAUAAACCCAAAAAAAAUUCUGGUGAACGCAACACUUGAGAUAAAAAAGAGGAAGGAGAGACGCAAAACAUGGAGAAACAAAGAGACGAGAGAAAGUUAACCUUUAUUUCCGAUGAAGAGCAUCUAAUUGUCUUUCCUUUCUGGCCUACUCUCUUCUCCCCCGUCACUUACUAUCUAACCACAAAAAUUCAAAUUAGAUUUAACAAGAAAAGAACACUUUAAAGUCAGACAAAAGAGCAUUAUACAUAUAGAUCAAGACAAAAAGAACAAGAUUUUACCCAAAUGUGGAAGAAGAAUUAACCAGCAAACUCAAAGUGUCUAAAAGAGAACCGAUAAAGAAAGAAGAGGAAGGAUGCGGUGGCUGCAAAAAUAAAA
Molecule: long non-coding RNA, 3443 nt
Filed under: Nicotiana benthamiana
Lineage: Eukaryota; Viridiplantae; Streptophyta; Magnoliopsida; Solanales; Solanaceae
Description: long non-coding RNA (NBEN_LNC021161)
Source: RNAcentral